GGCCCAAAUUCGGAGUAGAGUAGAUUAGAAGGGUCAUCUGACCCUAUUAAACUACUCUAAUUCGAGUUUGUGCCC
Molecule: non-coding RNA, 75 nt
Organism: Haemonchus contortus (barber pole worm)
Lineage: Eukaryota; Metazoa; Nematoda; Chromadorea; Rhabditida; Trichostrongylidae
Source: Rfam